This 670-nucleotide long non-coding RNA is filed under the name Brassica napus (rape). RNAcentral describes it as "long non-coding RNA (BNAP_LNC013553)". Lineage: Eukaryota; Viridiplantae; Streptophyta; Magnoliopsida; Brassicales; Brassicaceae. The record is from RNAcentral.
ACCACGACAAUACAUUGAAACUAAAACCCAUAACUAACACAUAGCAAAAGCAACCCAACUACACAAAGGCAGAAAACGAUUCAGCGCAACAUACCUUCCCACAUAGCAAAAAACAAUAACCUGGAUAUAUCGAAGCUGCCCUCAGCCCGCUCUACGAUACUCUCCACUUUCAAAACCCAAGACACCAAGUCUUGUCUCGAUCUGGAUCUAUCGAUGCCGCCUAUGGCCAGCUAAACGAUACCAUCCCCAACUAGUAACCCAUAUUAGUCUAAGGUAGAUAUAUAUUUCUUUUCAAUGUAAAAUCACUAAUUCCAUGUAUGCACUACAGGAAAUGUGAGUAUUAAUAGCAUCAUAUUAUAGCGUUUUUGACAAUUCUGCUAUCGUAUACUAAAACUUGAUUUUUUAAUAGCGUUUGUCAAUUUAAAAGGCUAUAUUUAUUAUCGAUGGAAAAUAAUAAAUUUUAACCGCCUUAAUUUGCUAAAUGUAGGCUCCAACAAUUAGAAGAAAAAACAAAAUUUACCCCCAAAACACUUAUCACAUUCACUGGGAGAUUAACUCCAUAUACCCCAUACCCGCUUAAAUGAAUUCUUACUGCCCCCUCUCUAUUCUUCCUACCCUUUUAUCCUUGCACUCCCCAAACUAGUCUUUCAUUUAUUCUCCAAUUAAAUAA